Molecule: ribosomal RNA, 468 nt
Filed under: uncultured bacterium
Lineage: Bacteria
Description: partial 16S ribosomal RNA
Rfam family: Bacterial small subunit ribosomal RNA
Source: RNAcentral
GACGAACGCUGGCGGCGUGCUUAACACAUGCAAGUCGAACGGAAAGGCCCUGCUUUUGUGGGGUGCUCGAGUGGCGAACGGGUGAGUAACACGUGAGUAACCUGCCCUUGACUUUGGGAUAACUUCAGGAAACUGGGGCUAAUACCGGAUAGGAGCUCCUGCUGCAUGGUGGGGGUUGGAAAGUUUCGGCGGUUGGGGAUGGACUCGCGGCUUAUCAGCUUGUUGGUGGGGUAGUGGCUUACCAAGGCUUUGACGGGUAGCCGGCCUGAGAGGGUGACCGGCGACAUUGGGACUGCGGUACGGCCCAGACUCCUACGGGGGGCAGCAGUGGGGAAUAUUGCACAAUGGGCGGAAGCCUGAUGCAGCAACGCCGCGUGCGGGAUGACGGCCUUCGGGUUGUAAACCGCUUUCGCCUGUGACGAAGCGUGAGUGACGGUAAUGGGUAAAGAAGCACCGGCUAACUACGUG